RNAcentral lists this ribosomal RNA (501 nucleotides) under uncultured bacterium. Its description in RNAcentral is "partial 16S ribosomal RNA". It matches the Rfam family "Bacterial small subunit ribosomal RNA", at positions 30 to 523 of the family's 1533-position model. The record is from RNAcentral.
AUUGAACGCUGGCGGCAGGCUUAACACAUGCAAGUCGAGCGGGGGAAGGUAGCUUGCUACCGGACCUAGCGGCGGACGGGUGAGUAAUGCUUAGGAAUCUGCCUAUUAGUGGGGGACAACAUCUCGAAAGGGAUGCUAAUACCGCAUACGUCCUACGGGAGAAAGCAGGGGAUCUUCGGACCUUGCGCUAAUAGAUGAGCCUAAGUCGGAUUAGCUAGUUGGUGGGGUAAAGGCCUACCGAGGCGACGAUCUGUAGCGGGUCUGAGAGGAUGAUCCGCCACACUGGGACUGAGACACGGCCCAGACUCCUACGGGAGGCAGCAGUGGGGAAUAUUGGACAAUGGGGGGAACCCUGAUCUAGCCAUGCCGCGUGUGUGAAGAAGGCCUUAUGGUUGUAAAGCACUUUAAGCGAGGAGGAGGCUACUUUAGUUAAUACCUAGAGAUAGUGGACGUUACUCGCAGAAUAAGCACCGGCUAACUCUGUGCCAGCCGCCGCAGUAA